RNAcentral lists this microRNA precursor (124 nucleotides) under Populus trichocarpa (black cottonwood). Its description in RNAcentral is "MIR480 microRNA precursor family". It matches the Rfam family "MIR480 microRNA precursor family". The record is from Rfam by way of RNAcentral. Lineage: Eukaryota; Viridiplantae; Streptophyta; Magnoliopsida; Malpighiales; Salicaceae.
UAAUCUGACUGAGUUAGAUUUUCAUUUAGAAAUAUCAAAUUUUUAUCUAAAUACUCAAAAUCUUUAAUUUUUACAGGCUAGAUUAUAUCAUCUUGAAUAUAAACUAUAAAGACAUGUUAGGGUA